AUUGAACGCUGGCGGCAUGCCUUACACAUGCAAGUCGAACGGCAGCGGGGGAGAAGCUUGCUUUUCCUGCCGGCGAGUGGCGAACGGGUGAGUAAUACAUCGGAACGUGCCCUGUAGAGGGGGAUAACUAGUCGAAAGAUUAUCUAAUACCGCAUACGACCUGAGGGUGAAAGUGGGGGACCGCCAGGCCUCAUGCUAUAGGAGCGGCCGAUGUCUGAUUAGCUAGUUGGUGGGGUAAAGGCCUACCAAGGCGACGAUCAGUAGCUGGUCUGAGAGGACGAUCAGCCACACUGGGACUGAGACACGGCCCAGACUCCUACGGGAGGCAGCAGUGGGGAAUUUUGGACAAUGGGCGAAAGCCUGAUCCAGCAAUGCCGCGUGUGUGAAGAAGGCCUUCGGGUUGUAAAGCACUUUUGUCCGGAAAGAAAUGGCUCUGGUUAAUACCUGGGGUCGAUGACGGUACCGGAAGAAUAAGGACCGGCUAACUACGUGCCAGCCGCCGCGGUAA
This 508-nucleotide ribosomal RNA is filed under the name uncultured bacterium. RNAcentral describes it as "partial 16S ribosomal RNA". It matches the Rfam family "Bacterial small subunit ribosomal RNA", at positions 30 to 523 of the family's 1533-position model. The record is from RNAcentral.